This 814-nucleotide ribosomal RNA is filed under the name Phaeobotryon aplosporum. Its description in RNAcentral is "partial large subunit ribosomal RNA". It matches the Rfam family "Eukaryotic large subunit ribosomal RNA", at positions 96 to 928 of the family's 3401-position model. Lineage: Eukaryota; Fungi; Ascomycota; Dothideomycetes; Botryosphaeriales; Botryosphaeriaceae. The record is from RNAcentral.
AAGCGGCAACAGCUCAAAUUUGAAAGCUGGCUCCUUCGGAGUCCGCAUUGUAAUUUGUAGAGGAUGAUUCGGCGAGGGCUCCCGCCUAAGUCCACUGGAACGUGGCGUCAUAGAGGGUGAGAAUCCCGUAUGUGGUGGGCUGCCUUAGCCAUGUGAAUCUCCUUCGACGAGUCGAGUUGUUUGGGAAUGCAGCUCUAAAUGGGAGGUAAAUUUCUUCUAAAGCUAAAUACCGGCCAGAGACCGAUAGCGCACAAGUAGAGUGAUCGAAAGAUGAAAAGCACUUUGGAAAGAGAGUUAAAAAGUACGUGAAAUUGUUGAAAGGGAAGGGCUUGCAACCAGACUUGUCCGCAGUUGCUCAGCCGGUCUCCUGACCGGCGUACUCUUCUGCGGCCAGGCCAGCAUCAGUUCGGGCGGUCGGAUAAAGACCUAGGGAAUGUAGCUCCUCUCGGGGAGUGUUAUAGCCCUGGGUGGAAUGCGGCCAGCCUGGACUGAGGAUCUCGCUUCGGCAAGGAUGCUGGCGUAAUGGUUGUAAGCCGCCCGUCUUGAAACACGGACCAAGGAGUCUAACAUCUAUGCGAGUGUUUGGGUGUCAAACCCAUACGCGUAAUGAAAGUGAACGGAGGUGGGAACCCGCAAGGGCGCACCAUCGGCCGAUCCUGAUGUCUUCGGAUGGAUUUGAGCAAGAGCAUAGCUGUUGGGACCCGAAAGAUGGUGAACUAUGCCUGAAUAGGGUGAAGCCAGAGGAAACUCUGGUGGAGGCUCGCAGCGGUUCUGACGUGCAAAUCGAUCGUCAAAUUUGGGUAUAGGGGCGAAA